CAUAUCAAUAAGCGGAGGAAAAGAAACUAACAAGGAUUCCCUUAGUAACUGCGAGUGAAGAGGGAUGAGCUCAAAUUUAAAAUCUGGCAGUGUUUUGCUGUCCGAGUUGUAAUCUAGAGAAGUGCUGCCCGUGCUGGACCAUGUACAAGUCUCCUGGAAUGGAGCGUCACAGAGGGUGAGAAUCCCGUCUUUGACAUGGACCACCAGUACAUUGUGGUGUGCUCUCAAAGAGUCGAGUUGUUUGGGAAUGCAGCUCUAAAUGGGUGGUAAACUCCAUCUAAAGCUAAAUAUUGGCGAGAGACCGAUAGCGAACAAGUACCGUGAGGGAAAGAUGAAAAGAACUUUGGAAAGAGAGUUAAACAGUAUGUGAAAUUGUUGAAAGGGAAACGCUUAAAGUCAGUCGUGUCGGCCAGGGAUCAACUCAGUUUUCUUUGCUGGGUGUACUUCCUGAUCUGAUGGGCCAACAUCAGUUUUGACUGCUGGAGAAGGAUAGAGGGAAUGUGGCACCUUUGGGUGUGUUAUAGUUCUCUGUCAUAUGCAGUGGUUGGGACUGAGGAAAGCAGCAUGCCGCAAGGCUGGGUCGCUUCGACCACGUUCAUGCUGAGGAUGUUGGCAUAAUGGCUUUAAUCGACCCGUCUUGAAACACGGAC
Molecule: ribosomal RNA, 650 nt
Filed under: Amanita ibotengutake
Lineage: Eukaryota; Fungi; Basidiomycota; Agaricomycetes; Agaricales; Amanitaceae
Description: LSU rRNA
Rfam family: Eukaryotic large subunit ribosomal RNA
Source: RNAcentral